This is a long non-coding RNA of Pyrgilauda ruficollis (rufous-necked snowfinch), 828 nucleotides long. RefSeq lists it as uncharacterized. The transcript is spliced from 3 exons. NCBI's taxonomy places the organism in Eukaryota, Metazoa, Chordata, Aves, Passeriformes, Passeridae. The record is from RefSeq and is a predicted model, not a curated record.
GGGGUGGCACAGCCCAGCCUGGCGACAAUGCUCCGGUUUAUUUACAAGCUGGCAGGGGGUGGUGGCACCGCCCCUGUCCCUGUCCCUGUCCCUGUCCCCAGUGGCUCCCAGCUGCCCCGGGGGUGGCCCUGCGGCCCCAAAGGGGGACAGGGAGGGGACACCAGGACACGUCCCCGAAGUCCCCGUGUCCCCUCGGGGUCCAGGGCCGUGAGGAGCGGUGGCAGCUCCUGGUGGCACCUCUGGUGGCACCUCCGAGGUCAGCUCUGGUGGCACAUCCCGGGUCACGUCCCAGGUGUCCUCAGUGUCACAUCCUGGGUGUCCCCAGGCUCGGCUUCUCGGGGUCACAAGGUGAAGAUCCCGUCCUUGGUGUCCCCAGUGUCCUCAAUGUCCCCAAUGUCACAAGGUGAAGAUCCCGUCCUCGCUGUCCCCAAUGUCCCCAGUGUCACAAGGUGAAGAUCUCGUCCUCGCUGUCCCCAAUGUCCCCAGUGUCACAAGGUGAAGAUCUCGUCCUCGCUGUCCUCGCUGUCCCCAAUGUCACAAGGUGAAGAUCUCGUCCCCGCUGUCCCCAAUGUCCCCAGUGUCACAAGGUGAAGAUCCCAUCCUCGCUGUCCCCAAUGUCCCCAAUGUCACAAGGUGAAGAUCUCGUCCCCGCUGUCCCCAAUGUCCCCAAUGUCACAAGGUGAAGAUCUCGUCCUCGCUGUCCCCAGUGUCACAAGGUGAAGAUCUCGUCCCCGCUGUCCCCAGUGUCCCCAAUGUCACAAGGUGAAGAUCUCGUCCUCGCUGUCCCCAAUGUCCCCAAUGUCACAAGGUGAAGAUCUCGUCCUCGCU